GCUUCAUUUUAAAGGCCUGAGCUCAAAGCUAAACAUGCCAUGUCACAAACUUCAUGGCGUGUCACAUUUUAACUAUGAUUUUGGUGACACCAAGGCAGCUAAAAUUUCAUCUCGUGGUUUCAAGUGUCAGGCUGGAGUGGAUGCAUUCUAAUGAGAAACUAAAUGUGCCAGCCAGGACAAGCUUCUGAUGGCCCACACCCCCUGUCCUGAUAACAGUCAGGUUGCCCCUAGAAGAUCAAUCUUGUUUGCAAGGAUUUCAACAGGAAGUGACUUAAAAUUCCUUUAGCAUUCCUCAACACUGAAACAGGUCAGACCAGAAGCUGUCGACAGAACACUCGCCCCUGAAAUGGCACCUCCACCACUCAGCUGAAUUCCACCCCUACCGCAUAUCUCUGAUGUCAAUGAACUUUGGAUGCAAGUAGCUCAGGACAUUUUUGUCUUUUUCUUAUCUUAUUCUGGGAAUUCUUCAUAUAACAGAGAAGUU
This is a non-coding RNA of Oryctolagus cuniculus (rabbit), 484 nucleotides long. The record is from RefSeq and is a predicted model, not a curated record. NCBI's taxonomy places the organism in Eukaryota, Metazoa, Chordata, Mammalia, Lagomorpha, Leporidae.